CAAAUUUAAAAUUUUCCACUGAGUGUCAGUGAGUAUAACUUUAACCCAUAAAGGCCUAAGGACUGUGAGGUGGUCUUGGCUGGGCAAAGAUCAGCCCCAUGGGUGAUCUGGUCCUUGCUUACCCUUGAUUAUGUAAAGAACAAGACUGUGCACACACAGGGAGGAUGGAACACUCUGCCCAGAUAGCCACACAUGCAAAGGUAAGUUCUCUGUUUUAGACAGACCACCAGCACCUCUGUAAGAGGAAAAGGUUCUUUAGCUCUGUUUCCGGUGCUCAUUCUUGUGAGAGCCCAAUUAAGCAAAGUUUCUGCUGUUUUCAGCUCCUCUGGACACGAACAAGAGGUGGUAUCCAAUCUGCCAUAGCAGAACUUCACCUGGGAGAAAACUGGAACCUAAUGCAGGAUUGUGCAGAGCAGGAAUUGCCUCAUGAGUGUUCAGAGCACGCAGGUGGAGACUCUACCCAAGAUGAAUCCCCCCAGGAAGAAUCUGAGAGACCCUGGGAAAGAAAGGUGACAUCCAGGGUCACCAGCUGGGAAGGACAAAGAAGGCUUGGGCUGAGAAAGAAUUGUGACAGAGCAUGUGGAAAAAGGAAGGGAUACCUAAUUCCUGUAUUAAUUACAGUUUUUAUGGCAUACUGGGCACUCCUGUGCAUAUUUGCUUCAGAGCUCACCAACCUGGAAGACGUGAAGACAUGGCUGAGGUUUGCUCCUUGCCUGAUAAAACAGUCUGAUCUUGAACAGUUCUAUCUGGCCACUGUAGCAAGUGAUGUGAGCAACCCUCAUAAAAUGAAAUGUUCAAUAUUCUGUCUGUAGAAUCACAUCCAUUUUCACAACAUCUGGAAUGAUUCCCCUGACUUUUCAGUGCUUUUUAGGCUAAAUGUUCCGUGAAGUCUGUGUACAACUAACAGUUGCUGCUUUUUUUCUGGAGUGAGAAGAGAAUGUACAUUUUUGCAUCCAUUUGUGUGGCUUCUGGGACUUUUUCUGCUUUUAACAUUCUCUGGCAAUGCCUCAUCCUGAGUCUGCCUUUGGCGGCGGCCACUGCACUGAGGGGCCAUGCAGGCAGAAUAAAUAACAAGGCAGUGCUGAGAGCCUUUCCUUG
Molecule: long non-coding RNA, 1098 nt
Filed under: Parus major (Great Tit)
Lineage: Eukaryota; Metazoa; Chordata; Aves; Passeriformes; Paridae
Description: lncRNA (ENSPMJG00000007050.1)
Source: RNAcentral